UACAGAGGGUGCGAGCGUUAAUCGGAAUGACUGGGCGUAAAGGGCGCGUAGGUGGUUUAUUAAGUGAGUUGUGAAAUUCCUGGGCUUAACCUAGGGACUGCAAAUUAGACUGAUAAGCUGGAGUGCAGCAGAGGGUAGAAGAAUUUCCGGUGUAGCGGUGAAAUGCGUAGAUAUCGGAAGGAAUACCGGUGGCGAAGGCGGCUACCUGGGCUGAGACUGACACUGAGGCGCGAGAGCGUGGGUAGCAAACAGG
RNAcentral lists this ribosomal RNA (253 nucleotides) under uncultured bacterium. RNAcentral's name for it is "partial 16S ribosomal RNA". It matches the Rfam family "Bacterial small subunit ribosomal RNA", at positions 524 to 776 of the family's 1533-position model. The record is from RNAcentral.